UGAUCAUGCUGUGGGUGUUUAUGAAUGUUCUGGAAGCAUGUGUCUCCAUGCAACCAUUAAAAAGGAACUGGCAAUCACUCGACAACAAAAGCAUUGCAUGAGCUGUAAAGCGAACUAAUUUUCUUGUUCUGAAUGAUAGUGGGCUUCCACUAGGUGGCAUGUGUGGUGCAUAAAAGUAGUGCAGGAGCUGUAAUACAGUGGUUCCAAACCACAUUCCUGGAUGCCCCCCAACACUGCACAUUUUGCUUGUCACCUUAAUUAAGCACACCUGAUUCAGAUCAUCAGCUCAUUAGCUGAGACUCCAAGACCAGAAAUAGGUGUGUCAGAAAAAGGAGACAUGGAAAAUGUGCAGUGUUGGGGGGACUCCAGGAAUGCGGAUGGGAACCACUGCGGUAAUGGAUUUGCAUAGUAUUCAGUGGAAACCAAGGGUACAUAGUACAUGGUGAGGAGAUGCUCAAGCUGCAUUUGGUGUAGCUCGAGCUGGAGGCCGUGGAGAAGCAGAUCCGUGACGUGGUGGAGAAGCAGGCCCAGCUGAGAGAGCGGAGAGCCGCACUGGAAACAAGUCCGAUGCAGCGUGAGAAUCCUACUGAGCAUGUGCAGAUUAAGUGUCAUCACUCCCCUGUACAACUGCCCCCGGUCUCCCCUAAUUUUUAACUAAUGAGAUACUAAUGUAUUUUAUGUCAUGAAGAGUUUUGUUGUUUUGUAUGUAAAACUAAGUAAAAUAAACUGGAAUUUAUCAGUUUAAAAUUUAGCAUCUAUCUUAACAGUGAGGGCAUCAGCAUCGAUUUGAUGUCGUUAACAUUCCUUAGAUAUUUGAAAAUGUGAAUUCUAGAAUAAAAAUAACUGGGUCUUAGAACUUCAACCC
Molecule: long non-coding RNA, 865 nt
Organism: Cyprinus carpio (common carp)
Lineage: Eukaryota; Metazoa; Chordata; Actinopteri; Cypriniformes; Cyprinidae
Source: RefSeq, a predicted model, not a curated record